CCAAAGGCUCUUUUCAGAGCCAUCCACCAGUUCUCAGGAAGAACUG
Regulatory RNA element from Loxodonta africana (African savanna elephant), 46 nucleotides. It matches the Rfam family "Histone 3' UTR stem-loop". Rfam says of the family: The mRNAs of metazoan histone genes lack a poly-A tail. The record is from Rfam. Lineage: Eukaryota; Metazoa; Chordata; Mammalia; Proboscidea; Elephantidae.